UACAGAGGUCUCAAGCGUUGUUCGGAUUCAUUGGGCGUAAAGGGUGUGUAGGCGGCGCGCUAAGUCGGGUGUGAAAUUUCGGAGCUUAACUCCGAAACUGCAUUCGAUACUGGCGUGCUUGAGGACUGGAGAGGAGACUGGAAUUCAUGGUGUAGCAGUGAAAUGCGUAGAGAUCAUGAGGAAGACCAGUGGCGAAGGCGGGUCUCUGGACAGUACCUGACACUGAGACACGAAGGCCAGGGGAGCAAACGGG
RNAcentral lists this ribosomal RNA (253 nucleotides) under uncultured bacterium. RNAcentral describes it as "partial 16S ribosomal RNA". It matches the Rfam family "Bacterial small subunit ribosomal RNA", at positions 524 to 776 of the family's 1533-position model. The record is from RNAcentral.